This 494-nucleotide ribosomal RNA is filed under the name uncultured bacterium. RNAcentral's name for it is "partial 16S ribosomal RNA". It matches the Rfam family "Bacterial small subunit ribosomal RNA", at positions 28 to 507 of the family's 1533-position model. The record is from RNAcentral.
GACGAACGCUGGCGGCGCGCUUAACACAUGCAGGUCGAACGGAAAGGCCUGCUUUCCCUUGUGGAUUGCGGGUACUCGAGUGGCGAACGGGUGAGUAACACGUGAGUGAUCUGCCCCCAACUUGGGUAUAAGCCUGGGAAACUGGGUCUAAUUCCCUAUAGGACUGCAGGGUGGUGUCUGUGUUGGAAAAAGAUUUUCGAGUGGUUGGGGAUGAGGUCGCGGCCUAUAAGCUGGUUGGUGGGGGAAUGGCCUACCAAGGGGGGGACGGGUAGCCGGCCUGGGGGGAGGGACGGCCACAUUGGGAAUGAGUGACGGCCCAGACUCCUACGGGAGGCAGGAGUGGGGAAUAUUGCCCAAUGGGCGGAAGCCUGAUGCAGCGACGCCGGGUGGGUGAUGACGUCCUUCGGGUUGUAAACUCCUUUCGACCGCGAGGAAGCCACCUGGUUGGAAGGGUGGUGACGGUAGUGGUAGAAGAAGCACCGGCUAACUACGUG